RNAcentral lists this ribosomal RNA (2777 nucleotides) under Salmonella enterica subsp. enterica serovar Albany. RNAcentral describes it as "bacterial LSU rRNA". It matches the Rfam family "Bacterial large subunit ribosomal RNA". Lineage: Bacteria; Pseudomonadati; Pseudomonadota; Gammaproteobacteria; Enterobacterales; Enterobacteriaceae. The record is from RNAcentral.
AGCGUACACGGUGGAUGCCCUGGCAGUCAGAGGCGAUGAAGGGCGUGCUAAUCUGCGAUAAGCGCCGGUAAGGUGAUAUGAACCGUUAUAACCGGCGAUACCCGAAUGGGGAAACCCAGUGUGACUCGUCACACUAUCAUUAACUGAAUCCAUAGGUUAAUGAGGCGAACCGGGGGAACUGAAACAUCUAAGUACCCCGAGGAAAAGAAAUCAACCGAGAUUCCCCCAGUAGCGGCGAGCGAACGGGGAGGAGCCCAGAGCCUGAAUCAGCAUGUGUGUUAGUGGAAGCGUCUGGAAAGGCGCGCGAUACAGGGUGACAGCCCCGUACACAAAAGCGCAUGUGCUGUGAGCUCGAUGAGUAGGGCGGGACACGUGGUAUCCUGUCUGAAUAUGGGGGGACCAUCCUCCAAGGCUAAAUACUCCUGACUGACCGAUAGUGAACCAGUACCGUGAGGGAAAGGCGAAAAGAACCCCGGCGAGGGGAGUGAAAAAGAACCUGAAACCGUGUACGUACAAGCAGUGGGAGCACAGGUUUACCUGUGUGACUGCGUACCUUUUGUAUAAUGGGUCAGCGACUUAUAUUCUGUAGCAAGGUUAACCGAAUAGGGGAGCCGGAGGGAAACCGAGUCUUAACCGGGCGUUAAGUUGCAGGGUAUAGACCCGAAACCCGGUGAUCUAGCCAUGGGCAGGUUGAAGGUUGGGUAACACUAACUGGAGGACCGAACCGACUAAUGUUGAAAAAUUAGCGGAUGACCUGUGGCUGGGGGUGAAAGGCCAAUCAAACCGGGAGAUAGCUGGUUCUCCCCGAAAGCUAUUUAGGUAGCGCCUCGUGAAUUCAUCUCCGGGGGUAGAGCACUGUUUCGGCUAGGGGGCCAUCCCGGCUUACCAACCCGAUGCAAACUGCGAAUACCGGAGAAUGUUAUCACGGGAGACACACGGCGGGUGCUAACGUCCGUCGUGAAGAGGGAAACAACCCAGACCGCCAGCUAAGGUCCCAAAGUCAUGGUUAAGUGGGAAACGAUGUGGGAAGGCCCAGACAGCCAGGAUGUUGGCUUAGAAGCAGCCAUCAUUUAAAGAAAGCGUAAUAGCUCACUGGUCGAGUCGGCCUGCGCGGAAGAUGUAACGGGGCUAAACCAUGCACCGAAGCUGCGGCAGCGACGCUUAUGCGUUGUUGGGUAGGGGAGCGUUCUGUAAGCCUGUGAAGGUGGCCUGUGAGGGUUGCUGGAGGUAUCAGAAGUGCGAAUGCUGACAUAAGUAACGAUAAAGCGGGUGAAAAGCCCGCUCGCCGGAAGACCAAGGGUUCCUGUCCAACGUUAAUCGGGGCAGGGUGAGUCGACCCCUAAGGCGAGGCCGAAAGGCGUAGUCGAUGGGAAACGGGUUAAUAUUCCCGUACUUGGUGUUACUGCGAAGGGGGGACGGAGAAGGCUAUGUUGGCCGGGCGACGGUUGUCCCGGUUUAAGCGUGUAGGUGUGUGUUCCAGGUAAAUCCGGUUCACUUUAACACUGAGGCGUGACGACGAGGCACUACGGUGCUGAAGCAACAAAUGCCCUGCUUCCAGGAAAAGCCUCUAAGCAUCAGGUAACAUCAAAUCGUACCCCAAACCGACACAGGUGGUCAGGUAGAGAAUACCAAGGCGCUUGAGAGAACUCGGGUGAAGGAACUAGGCAAAAUGGUGCCGUAACUUCGGGAGAAGGCACGCUGACACGUAGGUGAAGUGAUUUACUCAUGGAGCUGAAGUCAGUCGAAGAUACCAGCUGGCUGCAACUGUUUAUUAAAAACACAGCACUGUGCAAACACGAAAGUGGACGUAUACGGUGUGACGCCUGCCCGGUGCCGGAAGGUUAAUUGAUGGGGUCAGCGCAAGCGAAGCUCCUGAUCGAAGCCCCGGUAAACGGCGGCCGUAACUAUAACGGUCCUAAGGUAGCGAAAUUCCUUGUCGGGUAAGUUCCGACCUGCACGAAUGGCGUAAUGAUGGCCAGGCUGUCUCCACCCGAGACUCAGUGAAAUUGAACUCGCUGUGAAGAUGCAGUGUACCCGCGGCAAGACGGAAAGACCCCGUGAACCUUUACUAUAGCUUGACACUGAACAUUGAGCCUUGAUGUGUAGGAUAGGUGGGAGGCUUUGAAGUGUGGACGCCAGUCUGCAUGGAGCCGACCUUGAAAUACCACCCUUUAAUGUUUGAUGUUCUAACGUGGACCCGUGAUCCGGGUUGCGGACAGUGUCUGGUGGGUAGUUUGACUGGGGCGGUCUCCUCCUAAAGAGUAACGGAGGAGCACGAAGGUUGGCUAAUCCUGGUCGGACAUCAGGAGGUUAGUGCAAUGGCAUAAGCCAGCUUGACUGCGAGCGUGACGGCGCGAGCAGGUGCGAAAGCAGGUCAUAGUGAUCCGGUGGUUCUGAAUGGAAGGGCCAUCGCUCAACGGAUAAAAGGUACUCCGGGGAUAACAGGCUGAUACCGCCCAAGAGUUCAUAUCGACGGCGGUGUUUGGCACCUCGAUGUCGGCUCAUCACAUCCUGGGGCUGAAGUAGGUCCCAAGGGUAUGGCUGUUCGCCAUUUAAAGUGGUACGCGAGCUGGGUUUAGAACGUCGUGAGACAGUUCGGUCCCUAUCUGCCGUGGGCGCUGGAGAACUGAGGGGGGCUGCUCCUAGUACGAGAGGACCGGAGUGGACGCAUCACUGGUGUUCGGGUUGUCAUGCCAAUGGCACUGCCCGGUAGCUAAAUGCGGAAGAGAUAAGUGCUGAAAGCAUCUAAGCACGAAACUUGCCCCGAGAUGAGUUCU